CCUACGGGAGGCAGCAGUGGGGAAUAUUGCACAAUGGGGGAAACCCUGAUGCAGCGACGCCGCGUGAGUGAAGAAGUAUUUCGGUAUGUAAAGCUCUAUCAGCAGGGGAGAAACUGACGGUACCUGAUUAUGAAGCCCCGGCUACCUACGUGCCAGCAUCCGCGGUCAUACGUAGGGGGCACGCGUUAUCCGGAUUUACUGGGUGGAAAGGGAGCGUAGGCGGCAGCACAAGUCUGGAGUGAAAUGCCGGGGCUGAACCCCGGAACUGCUUUGGAAACUGUGGAGCUAGAGUGCAGGAGAGGUAGGUGGAAUGCGUGGUGUAGCGGUGAAAUGCGUAGAUAUUAGGAGGAACACCAGUGGCGAAGGCAGCUUACUGGACUGUAACUGACGCUGAGGCUCGAAAGCGUGGGGAGCAAACAGGAUUAGAUACCCCUGUAGUC
This 440-nucleotide ribosomal RNA is filed under the name uncultured bacterium. RNAcentral's name for it is "partial 16S ribosomal RNA". It matches the Rfam family "Bacterial small subunit ribosomal RNA", at positions 338 to 795 of the family's 1533-position model. The record is from RNAcentral.